This 975-nucleotide ribosomal RNA is filed under the name uncultured euryarchaeote. RNAcentral describes it as "bacterial SSU rRNA". It matches the Rfam family "Archaeal small subunit ribosomal RNA", at positions 345 to 1332 of the family's 1478-position model. The record is from RNAcentral. Lineage: Archaea; Methanobacteriati; Methanobacteriota.
AUCAUUUGCAAUGCGCGCAAGCGUGACAAUGCGAACCAAAGUGCUUUUCUUUUUUUGAAAAGCUUUUCUUUACUUUAAAAAGGUAGAGGAAUAAGGACUGGGUAAGACCGGUGCCAGCCGCCGCGGUAAUCCCGGCAGUUCUAGUCGCAUCCACUAUUAUUGGGUCUAAAACAUCCGUAGCUUGUAAUUUAAGUCUCUUGUGAAAUCCUACGUCUCAAGCGUAGGGCUUGCGGGAGAUACUGAAUUGCUAGAGAUCGGUAGACGUAAGAAGUACAUUGGAGGUAGUGGUAAAAUACGUUAAUCUUCGAUGGACUAACAAUGAGCGAAGGCAUCUUACGAGGACGAAUCUGACAGUGAGGGAUGAAGGCCAGGGGCGCAAAACGGAUUAGAUACCCGUGUAGUCCUGGCAGUAAACACUGCUCACUAAACAUCGGGCCCUCUUCGGGAGGAUUCGGUGCUGAAGCGAAGGCGAAGAGUGAGCUACCUGGGAAGUAUAGUCGCAAGAUCGAAACUUAAAGGAAUUGGCGGGGAGACAUACAACGAGUGACGCGUGCGGUUCAAUUAGAUUCUACACCGUGAACCUCACCAGGAGCGACAGCAGAAUGAAGGUCAGUCUAAAGGGCUUACCUGACACGCUGAGCGGAGAUGCAUGGCCGACGUCAGCCUGUGCUGUGAAGUGACCGGUUAAAUCCGGUAACAGGCGAGACCCGCGUCCAUAAUUACUACAGAAAUGAGUACAUUAUGGAGACUGCUGUGGUAACACAGAGGAAGGUGCGGGCUACGUUAGGUGAGUACGUCCCUAAUCCCCUGGGCUACACGCGCGCGGCAAUGGUAAGUUCAAUGAGAUGCAACUCCGAGAGGAGAAGCUAAUCCCCCAACACUUAUCUCAGUCCAGAUUGUGGGUUGCAACCCACCCACAUGACGUUGGAAUUCGUAGUAAUCGGAUGUUAGCACCGUCCGGUGAAUAAGUCCCUG